RNAcentral lists this ribosomal RNA (497 nucleotides) under uncultured bacterium. Its description in RNAcentral is "partial 16S ribosomal RNA". It matches the Rfam family "Bacterial small subunit ribosomal RNA", at positions 28 to 507 of the family's 1533-position model. The record is from RNAcentral.
GACGAACGCUGGCGGCGUGCCUAAUACAUGCAAGUUGAGCGCUGAAGGUUGGUACUUGUACCGACUGGAUGAGCAGCGAACGGGUGAGUAACGCGUGGGGAAUCUGCCUUUGAGCGGGGGACAACAUUUGGAAACGAAUGCUAAUACCGCAUAAAAACUUUAAACACAAGUUUUAAGUUUGAAAGAUGCAAUUGCAUCACUCAAAGAUGAUCCCGCGUUGUAUUAGCUAGUUGGUGAGGUAAAGGCUCACCAAGGCGAUGAUACAUAGCCGACCUGAGAGGGUGAUCGGCCACAUUGGGACUGAGACACGGCCCAAACUCCUACGGGAGGCAGCAGUAGGGAAUCUUCGGCAAUGGACGAAAGUCUGACCGAGCAACGCCGCGUGAGUGAAGAAGGUUUUCGGAUCGUAAAACUCUGUUGGUAGAGAAGAACAUUGGUGAGAAUGGAAAGCUCAUCAAGUGACGGUAACUACCCAGAAAGGGACGGCUAACUACGUG